ACUUAAAUGCUCGCUUCAAACUAUCGAUUUAGGAGGCACGUUUAAAAUAAGCCAACCCAACGAUAGUGAUGGAAGACAAAACAUAUGACUUAAAUUCUGAAGAUUUUGAUGUGAAUUCCUAUGUUAAACACAUAAUAAAAGAUCACUCAUUAAAUAAAUUAAUGGAACAAGAAAAUAAUUUGAAGAAAGAGAUUAAAUUAUUAGAUAAUGAUAUGCAAUCAUUGGUAUAUGAAAACUAUAAUAAGUUUAUAAAUGCUACAGAUAUUGUUCAAAAUCUAAAGUGCAAUUUCUCUUCUAUUGAAAGCUUAAUAGAAGAUGUGUCAAACAAAAUGGAUAAAAUUACCAGCUCUCAUAAAAAAUUAUUAGAAGAUAUGAAACCAAAUAAAGAAAAAAUUACAAAAUAUAUAGAGUUAAAUGGAGCUUUAAGAAAAAUGCAAUUUUUAUUUGACCUUCCUGAUCAUCUCAAAAAGUUAAUUUUAUCAAAGAGUUAUUCUCAAGCUCUUAAAGAAUAUAUUGAAGCAAGCAAACUUUUGGAAAAGCAUCAAAACUUUAAAACUUUUGAAGACAUUGCAUCAGAAUGUAAACUAAUUAUGAUAAGUCUACAUGAUGAUCUUUUAAUCAAGGCUGAAAAAUCUGAUUAUAAGGUUCCAGUGUCAGAAUUUUUCGAAAUUUUUGACAUAUUAAAAACUAUGUCUAGCUGUGGGAUCGCUGAAGAGCAACAUUUAAAAUAUUGGGAUAUGCAAUUUUUAUCCCAAAGUUAUCUUGAAAUGGUUAAAGCUAAAUGUUGCGAUCAUGUAAACUUUUUGGCAAACGUUCUCGAAACCCAAAAUUCAACCGAUACCAAAGAUUACUCAAAAUUUUCUCAAGAAUUAUGCCAGGGGUUUUUGAAAAAUUUCGCUUCUUACCUCAUCUACCACAAAAUACUGUUCAAAAACGUCGAAGAUGAAUCCAGCGAUUCCGAACAUCUCUUAUCUAACUCCAUUUCCUUGCAAAUUCUUUCCCUACUAACGAGCCGUAUCCUGUUCCCCUUUUUCGGGUCUGGCCCUACUUGCCAAAGCGAGCACUCCAUAGCCUUGGCCCUGGAUAAGUUGUACUUCGAAACUAAGAAGAUGAGUUGUCAUUUCAGAUUGGACGAAUGGUUUAUCGGGAACGCCUUGAUUCCCAUUAUAGAGGGGAGAAUUAGAGCCUAUGCUGCCUCGAGCUGUUCCAACUUCAAUAAAUUGUCGAUGGAAGUUCGGCAAAAAUUGGCCAAACUCAACGUUAAUUCAUUGACGGAAGGUAGCAAUUACUUGAGGGAGAUGGCCAAGAAUUUUCUUUCGUCCCUUGUCGAAAACAUCAAGAACGUUUUGAGGAAAUUGACGUGCUACACCUCGGUUGAAGAAAUAUCUUAUUCUACGGAACCAGAGUUUGCCGAAACCUUUCUUAAAUCCUUCAUUUUUGGCCAAUUUUUGUUUCCCUUUUUUCGGCAUUUCAUCAACACCCUGCAAAGAUUUGAAGAUGUGAAAGACAAUGGAAUUAUAGAUCAGACUACUUUAAGUUCGAACCAAUCAUUCUCAGCUACCGCUAACUCCUCCCUAUCUCUCUUGUUCUUUUCACGGGUGGCGCUUGAUUUUUAUAGGACUGGAUAUGACGAACUGGUUUCCUUCGCCCAUGAUACCUUCCGCACCAUUCCUCGUCCCAACUCCAUCACUUCCCCUUCAUCAAACUUUACAUCUUUCCCUAAAUCGGAAUCGGCCAAAAAUUCCCAAAAUUACGGGGUCACUGCCCAGGACCAAGUGAUGGUUGGUCAAUUUGAAGCGAUCGCCUCAGCAGGUGUUUCCACUUACGCCCGGUCUAGGGGAGUGUCUAUUAGUAAGCUGGCAGAACGUAGCGCUGCGUCACGUGACUGGCUAGGCGGAGCCGAACCAAGAACCCCCCGAGCCGCCCUAAAGAGAGUUAGAGAAGAAAUCGAAGGAGUGGAUUUAGUGGUAGGCCAAUUGUUCGACGAUCAAAACGAGAAGCAGCAACCACAACACGGGAGUAGCCAUAGCAGUUCCAGAAAAUAUUCUUCUUAUUCCAGGAAUACUACUAACCAAGGAGGAAACAAAUCCUUCAGACCUUUACACUCUGCUAGCACAAUAAGCCGUCCUAACCUACUUCACAGUCAUAUAUCCAAAAUAUUCUCCGAAAAAAUUGUCAUAUACGAACCCGUUAAUUUCAACAAAAAUUCAAUCCUCACUGGCAUCAUUAAAAUAUGCUUGAAAUCAUUUUUGGAGAGCAUCAGGCUUAAAACGCUUAGCACUUACGGGUUUCAGCAAAUACAAGUCGAUUUGCAUUAUCUGCAAUUGUACCUCUGGCGAUUUGUAUCUAAUGAAAAGAUACUUCAAUCUUUAUUGGACGAGAUACUCUCAAGCGCUGCCCUCAGAUGCACCAAUCCCAUCUUGAUGGAACAAAGUGUUGUCGACAUCAUAUGCGAAAAAUAAUACCAUUGGUAUGGAAAACAAGAAUAUGUUUCAUUCAAAUGUAUAAUUUAAUCGAUAAAAAAUACUUUUUUAAAAAGCUAAUGCCUGAUAGUUACCUGUCGGUGUAAUCAAUUAGAUACAUAUGGCUGACCAUCAGUAAAAUCAAAUUUUAUAAAGGUUGCCAAAUAUCAAUAAGUA
Gordionus sp. m RMFG-2023 is the source of this 2639-nucleotide RNA transcript. It is a transcript of the gene named vacuolar protein sorting-associated protein 51 homolog, with no coding region annotated. The transcript has 19 exons. NCBI's taxonomy places the organism in Eukaryota, Metazoa, Nematomorpha, Gordioida, Chordodea, Parachordodidae. The record is from RefSeq and is a predicted model, not a curated record.